This 63-nucleotide non-coding RNA is filed under the name Pseudomonas cremoricolorata. RNAcentral describes it as "Li+-I sequence". It matches the Rfam family "nhaA-I RNA". Rfam says of the family: Acidobacteria, Alphaproteobacteria, Betaproteobacteria and Gammaproteobacteria, Verrucomicrobia, cand. division NC10. Downstream gene The record is from Rfam by way of RNAcentral. Lineage: Bacteria; Pseudomonadati; Pseudomonadota; Gammaproteobacteria; Pseudomonadales; Pseudomonadaceae.
GGGUGCGUCAGCCAUGUGGCUUGAAUCGCAGGUUAAAAAUCAACGCUGGUCGGGCCGCUAGCG